Molecule: transfer RNA, 88 nt
Filed under: Salinivirgaceae bacterium
Lineage: Bacteria; Pseudomonadati; Bacteroidota; Bacteroidia; Bacteroidales; Salinivirgaceae
Description: tRNA-Ser
Rfam family: tRNA
About the family: Transfer RNA (tRNA) molecules are approximately 80 nucleotides in length. Their secondary structure includes four short double-helical elements and three loops (D, anti-codon, and T loops).
Source: RNAcentral
GGAGAGAUGGCAGAGCGGUUUAAUGCACCGGUCUUGAAAACCGACGUAGGUAACACUACCGGGGGUUCGAAUCCCUCUCUCUCCGCCA